GACGAACGCUGGCGGCGUGCCUAAUACAUGCAAGUAGAACGCUGAAGGAGGAGCUUGCUUCUCUGGAUGAGUUGCGAACGGGUGAGUAACGCGUAGGUAACCUGCCUGGUAGCGGGGGAUAACUAUUGGAAACGAUAGCUAAUACCGCAUAAGAGUAGAUGUCGCAUGACAUUUGCUUAAAAGGUGCAAUUGCAUCACUACCAGAUGGACCUGCGUUGUAUUAGCUAGUUGGUGAGGUAACGGCUCACCAAGGCAACGAUACAUAGCCGACCUGAGAGGGUGAUCGGCCACACUGGGACUGAGACACGGCCCAGACUCCUACGGGAGGCAGCAGUAGGGAAUCUUCGGCAAUGGACGGAAGUCUGACCGAGCAACGCCGCGUGGGUGAAGAAGGGUGUCGGAUCGUAAAGCUCUGUUGUAAGAGAAGAACGAGUGUGAGAGUGGAAAGUUCACACUGUGACGGUAUCUUACCAGAAAGGGACGGCUAACUACGUG
This 495-nucleotide ribosomal RNA is filed under the name uncultured bacterium. RNAcentral's name for it is "partial 16S ribosomal RNA". It matches the Rfam family "Bacterial small subunit ribosomal RNA", at positions 28 to 507 of the family's 1533-position model. The record is from RNAcentral.